Non-coding RNA from Bacillus sp. JCM 19045, 100 nucleotides. NCBI's taxonomy places the organism in Bacteria, Bacillati, Bacillota, Bacilli, Caryophanales, Bacillaceae. The record is from Rfam.
UAGAACCACUAGGGGAGUCCUUUGACUGAGAAAAGCCUUGCUUUGACCCUUUGAACCUGAUCUGGUUAAUACCAGCGUAGGGAAGUGGAGUAGCUACUCU